Molecule: ribosomal RNA, 125 nt
Filed under: Flavobacterium sp.
Lineage: Bacteria; Pseudomonadati; Bacteroidota; Flavobacteriia; Flavobacteriales; Flavobacteriaceae
Description: partial 16S ribosomal RNA
Rfam family: Bacterial small subunit ribosomal RNA
Source: RNAcentral
GGUGAAUACGUUCCCGGGCCUUGUACACACCGCCCGUCACACCAUGGGAGUUGAUUGCUCCAGAAGUCGGUGAGCCAACCGCAAGGAGGCAGCCGCCCAAGGAGUGAUUGGCGACUGGGGUGAAG